RNAcentral lists this ribosomal RNA (1354 nucleotides) under uncultured marine eukaryote. RNAcentral's name for it is "SSU rRNA". It matches the Rfam family "Eukaryotic small subunit ribosomal RNA", at positions 411 to 1777 of the family's 1831-position model. The record is from RNAcentral.
CACUUCUAAGGAAGGCAGCAGGCGCGCAAAUUACCCAAUCCUGACUCAGGGAGGUAGUGACAAGAAAUAACAAUAAACCGGCUUAUGCCGGUUUAAUUGGAAUGAGUACAAUUUAAACAUCUUAACGAGGAACAAUUGGAGGGCAAGUCUGGUGCCAGCAGCCGCGGUAAUUCCAGCUCCAAUAGCGUAUACUAAAGUUGUUGCAGUUAAAAAGCUCGUAGUUGGAUUUCUGUGGGGACGGAGCGGCCGGCCGCACAUCGCGGUUCGAGCUAGCGCUUUCCCUACAUCCUGCCGCGAACCGUGCUACCAUUAGUUUGGUGGCGCCGGGGAUCGGCUCGAUUACUUUGAGAAAAAUAGAGUGUUCAAAGCAGGCCACAUGCCUUGAAUAAGUUAGCAUGGAAUAAUAACUAAGGACUUCGGUUCUAUUUUGUUGGUGUUCGGGACUGAAGUAAUGAUUGAUAGGGACAGUUGGGGCGGUCUGUAUUCCAAAGCGAGAGGUGAAAUUCUUAGACCUUCGGAAGACAAACAGCUGCGAAAGCGUUCCGCAAGGAUGUUCCCUUUGAUCAAGAACGAAAGUUGGGGGAUCGAAGACGAUCAGAUACCGUCGUAGUCUCAACUAUAAACUAUACCAGCUAGGGAUCGGCCAACGUUAUUCUAUACCGACUUGGUCGGCACCUUAUGAGAAAUCAAAGCAUCUGGGUUCCGGGGGGAGUAUGGUCGCAAGGCUGAAACUUAAAGGAAUUGACGGAAGGGCACCACCAGCCGUGGAGCCUGUGGCUUAAUUUGACUCAACACGGGAAAACUUACCAGGUCCAGACAUAGUAAGGAUUGACAGAUUGAUAGCUCUUUCUUGAUUCUGUGGGUGGUGGUGCAUGGCCGUUCUUAGUUGGUGGAGUGAUUUGUCUGGUUAAUUCCGUUAACGAACGAGACCCCAGCCUGCUAAAUAGCGCGUGUGAGCUUUGCUCGCAGCGAGCUUCUUAGAGGGACUAUGAUGCGCGAUAGCACAUGGAAGUUUGGGGCAAUAACAGGUCUGUGAUGCCCUUAGAUGUUCUGGGCCGCACACGGGCUACACUGGCGCCUGCAACGAGCAUAUCAGCUGGCCCGAGAGGGUCUUGGCUAAUCUUUUGAACCGGCGCCGUGCUUGGGAUUGACCUUUGCAAUUGUUGGUCAUGCAACGAGGAAUGCCUUGUAAACGCGAGUCAUCAGCUCGCAUUGAAUACGUCCCUGCCCUUUGUACACACCGCCCGUCGCUCCUACCGAUGAAUGUUCCGAUGAAAUUUUCGGAGAGUGCCUGUGAACUUGGCUCUGCCUUGCGAACGGGAAGCUCAAAGUCACUUAAAUCUGAACAUUUCGA